Long non-coding RNA from Carya illinoinensis, 1611 nucleotides. RefSeq lists it as uncharacterized. The transcript has 2 exons. The record is from RefSeq and is a predicted model, not a curated record. NCBI's taxonomy places the organism in Eukaryota, Viridiplantae, Streptophyta, Magnoliopsida, Fagales, Juglandaceae.
AUGCAGCUGGCCUCGUGGUAGACUGCACACGAUGCCAUUGUUGUACUAACAAGAGUUGACUAAGGGUUUUGUUAUAUUUGACCUGUGUGCUCUAAGGCCUGGUUUGGUUGGGCCGAUGAGACACAAACCAUCUCUCUUUGUUUACGGCUGAAGUAGUCUGUGUACCCGAACGCCCACUAAAGACCUCUCAACCCAUCUCUGCAUGUUUUUACACUGUAUAUUGAUGUAACCUAACAACUACAGUAAAAGCUGGUGCCACUAACAGCCCGAGCCUUCCUUUCCCUUCCCUUCUCAAUCCACAUUCUUUUCCCACUCAUCUCUAUAUGUCAAUGCCGUCCCCAUCCGAAAAACACCGGAGAUUUUCUUCCAUCGACAUCACGGCCGCAGCUGAGACACCAACAAGCCCGUCGUGCUCGUGGGGAAAAGCACCAAGGUGGGAGAGUUUUGUUCUCCGUAAAGGUAACCCUACGGCUCUUUUUCUAGAGGCAAGUGCUGAGCAAUUUUAUUUUUUCCCCCGUGCGAAUCUUCCUCUUUACCCCGUGGAGAAACUCGGCAGUGUAGCGUGCAAGGGAUUCCUCUGUCCUCUAUAAAUUGAAAAUGACGAAACUUAGGUCACCCACCACUACCAAUGCCUGUAUUCGUCGCACCUUCUCACCUAACUCGAGCAAUAAACACCGUUUUCAUUUCUUGGCCACCACAACUCUGAACAAGCAGUCCUUCAAGAUCAGACCGCCUGAGCCAAACCUUGAUGUUCAACAUGGAAGGAGCUUUGCUAAAUUCCUUAUCCUCAUUCCCAUUCAGCUUCAUGCUUGUGGCCUUUGAAGUAGGGAGCUUUUUAAGGACUCUGAUCUCUUUCUUCUAUAUUCUUUAAAUUGUUUGGUUAGUGUGGGGAUGGGAUUGAAGAUUAUGGUCAUGGUUUGUUUCCUUGGGAUCAAGAAGACAGCUUUAGGGUUGGAAAAAUUGUAUUCCCCAAGUUCUUUUUUUUUCUUUUUCUUUUUUUUUUCUUUCUUUUUUUUUUUUUUUUUUUUUUUUUUUUUUUUUUUUUGGUUGUUGAGAGAACGUUAGGUUGGAGAUCUUUGAGGUGCUGAGCAGAGGCGGGUAAAAAAAGUAGCUGUGACUAAGCUUCCUCGAGCUUGAGGGCUUCUUAAUGAAUCAUUUGAAGAUUGAUCUCGUUGUUGGGAGAGAGGUAAAGGUGUUCCAUAUAGACUAUGUUACUGGACUCAUGAAGGAGAAGAAAAAAGAUAAUAUUAUUGUUUUUGAGGAAAUCCUUGAAGAAGACAAAGUGCGUAGUGCUGAUAUAAUUGGCGUUACUAGCUUCCACAAAGUUGAUCAUGGUCACCAUUUGUCUCUCUCUCUCUCUCUCUCUCUCUCUCUCUCUCUCUCUCUCUCUCUCUCUCUCUCUCUCUCUCUCUCUCUCUCUCUCUCUCGAUUCUAUGCAUACUUCUUUAACAUUGUGCCAUUCUAUUAACAAUAUCAUCACCACACCUGAUCAAGACUUAAAGACAACUCAUCAAAGAAUAUUUCAGACAUGACAAACCAGAAUCAUCCAGAAUAAUUUCUGUUUCAUACGUAUCAUAUUUCUAUUGUAUUGAUGAAAUUUGUUAUCAAGAA